UUGAAAUACAGUUGUUUAGUUUUAUAGUAGGAAAAAAGAAUAGAGUUUUAAGAAAACAUAAAUAAAAGUAGUUUUUUUAAUAUAGUUUUUCCGUUUAGUUUUUUUAGUAUAGUUUUCCGGUUUUAGUUUUGAAAUACAGGUGUUUAGUUUUAUAGUAGGGAAAAAAGAAUAGAGUUUCAAGAAAACAUAGAUAAAAGAAGUUUUUUUAAAUAUAGUUUUCAGUUUAGUUUUUAGUAUAGUUUUUGGAAAAUAUAAGAAUAAAGGAGUUUUUUUUUCGAGUUUAGUUUUUAGUUUCGUGUUCAAAUCGUAUAAAGGUUCGGCUGUAGAAUAGAAAAAAUUAUCCCGCUGUUAAUUUAGUUUACGAACGACAUAAAUUUUUCUGAAGUUUAAAAUGUUGCUUUUGUUAUUUUAUUUUUACGACUUGCAUGUUUUUCAGAUUUCCCUUGAAAAAAGGUAAGUUUUUAUUUGAAGAUGUUGUAUAGGAUUUUUUAUGAACUGAUUUUCUAAAAAUUUUUUUGAAGUUUAAAAUGUUUCUUUUGUUAUUUUAUUUUUACGAGUCGCAUGUUUUUCAGAUUUCCGUGCCGAGGGUUAAUUUUUUUUCGAUAGACUUUUUCUAAAUGUUCCUGCUGUUUAUUAUCUAAUUUUACGAGCGACUUGCGAAGGGUAUUUUCAGAUUUUUGUACGUGGAAAAGAGUCAUAAAAGCACAAAAAUGGACCUAUUAGAAAAGAUAAGUAUUCAUGGAGGUGGGAAAAUGGGCCUGACUAAAAUUAUUUCGACUAUCAUCCCUGAAAAUUUUCACGACAAGUGUCAGUUGUGUUUUCCGGGUGUACUCAUUCACAUCUUCACUAAUAAAACAAAAAAUGAAACGUGUACUUGAAACUAACGAAGUUGACUUUAGUUGUAAAAAAAAGAAAGUAGAAGA
Aphidius gifuensis is the source of this 923-nucleotide long non-coding RNA. RefSeq lists it as uncharacterized. The record is from RefSeq and is a predicted model, not a curated record. NCBI's taxonomy places the organism in Eukaryota, Metazoa, Arthropoda, Insecta, Hymenoptera, Braconidae. The transcript has 2 exons.